UACGGGGGGGGCAAGCGUUGUUCGGAAUUACUGGGCGUAAAGGGCUCGUAGGCGGCCAACUAAGUCGGAUGUGAAAGCCCCGGGCUCAACCUGGGAAUUGCAUUCGAGACUGCAUUGCUGGAGUACGGAAGAGGAAGGCGGAAUUCCCGGUGUAGCGGUGAAAUGCGUAGAUAUCGGGAGGAACAUCAGUGGCGAAGGCGGCCUUCUGGUCCAGUACUGACACUCAAGUGCGAAAGCGUGGGGAGCAAACAGG
RNAcentral lists this ribosomal RNA (253 nucleotides) under uncultured bacterium. RNAcentral's name for it is "partial 16S ribosomal RNA". It matches the Rfam family "Bacterial small subunit ribosomal RNA", at positions 524 to 776 of the family's 1533-position model. The record is from RNAcentral.